ACUGCUCAGUAACACGUGGACAACCUGCCCUUAGGUUGGGUAUAAACCCGGGAAACUGGGUAUAAUACCCGAUAGGUCUCGAUUGCUGGAAUGCAUCGAGAUUUAAAGCUCCGGCGCCUAAGGAUGGGUCUGCGGCCUAUCAGGUAGUAGUGGGUGUAGCGUACCUACUAGCCUACGACGGGUACGGGUUGUGAGAGCAAGAGCCCGGAGAUGGAUUCUGAGACACGAAUCCAGGCCCUACGGGGUGCAGCAGGCGCGAAAACUUUACAAUGCUGGCAACAGCGAUAAGGGAACCUCGAGUGCCAGGUUACAAAUCUGGCUGUCGAGAUGCCUAAAAAGCAUUUCAUAGCAAGGGCCGGGCAAGACCGGUGCCAGCCGCCGCGGUAACACCGGCGGCUCGAGUGGUAACCGUUAUUAUUGGGUCUAAAGGGUCUGUAGCCGGCCGGAUAAGUCUCUUGAGAAAUCUGGCAGCUUAACUGUCAGGCUUUCAGGAGAUACUGUCUGGCUCGAGGCCGGGAGAGGUGAGAGGUACUUCAGGGGUAGGGGUGAAAUCUUGUAAUCCUUGAAGGACCACCAGUGGCGAAGGCGUCUCACCAGAACGGACCUGACGGCAAGGGACGAAAGCUAGGGGCACGAAACCGGAUUAGAUACCCGGGUAGUCCUAGCCGUAAACGAUACUCGCUAGGUGUCGGCCACGGUGCGACCGUUGUCGGUGCCGUAGGGAAGCCGUGAAGCGAGCCACCUGUGAAGUACGGCCGCAAGGCUGAAACUUAAAGGAAUUGGCGGGGGAGCAC
Molecule: ribosomal RNA, 794 nt
Filed under: uncultured archaeon
Lineage: Archaea
Description: bacterial SSU rRNA
Rfam family: Archaeal small subunit ribosomal RNA
Source: RNAcentral